UAUUAUAAUAAAAUGUAUUAUUAUUAAAAUGGAGUAGUAGUAGAUUUAUGUUCUUAAAACUUAAUAAAUUUGGCGGUAUUUUAAUCUAAUCAGAGGAAUUUGUUUUAUAAUUGAUAAUCCCCAUUAUAUCUUACUUAAUUUAUUUAAUUUAUAUAUCGUCGUCAUAAGAAUUUAUUUUAAAAUAAAAAAUUUUCUUGAUUUUAAAAUUAAUAAGAUGUCAGAUCAAGGUGUAGUUUAUAAUUAAGAAAAAAUGAAUUACAAUAAAUUUAUUUAUACGAAUAAUUAUUUUUAAUAAUAAUUUGAAGGUGGAUUUGUUAGUAAAAUUAAUUUUAAUAAUAAUAGUUUGACUAUAGUUCUAAAAUAUGCACAUAUCGCCCG
This 378-nucleotide ribosomal RNA is filed under the name Synapha fasciata. RNAcentral describes it as "partial 12S ribosomal RNA". The record is from RNAcentral. Lineage: Eukaryota; Metazoa; Arthropoda; Insecta; Diptera; Mycetophilidae.